CAGCCGCCGCGGGAAUACGUAGGGUGCGAGCGUUAAUCGGAAUUACCGGGCGUAAAGCGUGCGCAGGCGGUUGUGUAAGACAGGUGUGAAAUCCCCGGGCUUAACCUGGGAACUGCGCUUGUGACUGCACAGCUAGAGUAUGGCAGAGGGGGGUGGAAUUCCACGUGUAGCAGUGAAAUGCGUAGAGAUGUGGAGGAACACCGAUGGCGAAGGCAGCCCCCUGGCCAAUACUGACGCUCAUGCACGAAAGCAUGGGGAGCAAACAGGAUUAGAUACCCCCGUAGUCCCUGUCUCUUAUACA
Molecule: ribosomal RNA, 301 nt
Filed under: uncultured bacterium
Lineage: Bacteria
Description: partial 16S ribosomal RNA
Rfam family: Bacterial small subunit ribosomal RNA
Source: RNAcentral